This is a non-coding RNA of Odocoileus virginianus texanus, 519 nucleotides long. Lineage: Eukaryota; Metazoa; Chordata; Mammalia; Artiodactyla; Cervidae. The record is from RefSeq and is a predicted model, not a curated record.
CAGUUUUUCUGCCCUCUGAUGGAGAAGGAAAAGAGAAAACCCCGGAGCGAGGUUCUACCUACCCGAGGCCGCUGGUGUGCGGAGACCCCGGGGGAAGCCACCGUCACCAUGUCUGACCAGGAAGCAAAACCUUCAACCGAGGACUUGGGGGAUAAGAAGGAAGGAGAAUAUAUUAAAGUCAUUGGACAGGAUAGCAGUGAGAUUCACUUCAAAGUGAAAAUGACGACACAUCUCAAGAAACUCAAAGAAUCAUACUGUCAAAGACAGGGAGUUCCCAUGAAUUCACUCAGGUUUCUCUUUGAAGGUCAGAGAAUUGCUGAUAAUCACACUCCAAAAGAACUGGGAAUGGAGGAAGAAGAUGUGAUUGAAGUUUAUCAGGAACAAACAGGGGNGGAGUUGGUGAUGGACAGGGAGGAUAUCAUGGCAAGCAGAGCAGUAGAUUCUGUCAAGGUUAAAAUGGCCUAUUUAUCAGUGUCAGUUGAUGGUGGGGUGGAAGGUGAAUUACAGGUGAAGCAGUAG